CUCGUACCACCUAAAAUCGCCUUGUAGCACCAGUGGUGCCAAAGUCCACCCUCAGGGAAACACAGGUUUAGAUGAAUAAAUGAGGGAGCGAGUGAAUGGAUGCUGACUCCAUGCAAGCCCCUGGGAAGAAAGAAACGAGCAAGUGAGGGGCGGCUUCCCCGGGGAAACCGGAACGGCAAACAGCGGCACCGGCCAGGGCAGAGCCGCGCACCGCCCUGAGCGCGAACGUGGGAGCUCCGGAUGCAGACCCGGGGCGCGGCGAGGACCGCGGGCGAAGGCGCGGGCACGGGAGCGGCCAGGCCUGGCCGCGUGGCUGGCCGGGCACGCGCUCCGAGGGCGCGCUCCUGGCGGCGGCGCGCGGGGCCGCGGCGGCGGGCGAGGGCUUCCGGUGGCGCGGAGGCGGCCCUGCGCGGGUCCGGGAGCGGCGGCCCGGGGAGCGCAUUUGUCACCAGUUGGAAUUAACUGUGUUGGGGCCGGCCCGGUGGCGCAGCGAAUGAAAUGGGCAUUGAGACCCUACCACGCAAGCCGUCGUUAGGUGCAUUCAGCUGGACUGUGGUCAUGGGUGGAACCAAACUUCUGCUUGAGGUUAAAGGAUUCAGCUUUCUGAUUUGUAAUUUGGUCUCCUGCCUGGCGACGCCCAUAAGAAAGGAAUGCUGAGUGUGGAGGACCAGCCCAAAGCCAAACGACUGGGUAAAUGUGCUGUGUAGGGUGAUGGCCCUUGGCAGACAUGUCCUCUCUGGCCUCCCCAGGGUCAGCAGUGUGUUGUAGUCAGGCCCAACCCCCACUUCCACGCUGUGUCAUCUUGGACAAGGCACUUGAUUCUCUGAGCGACUUUACAAAAUAGGGGACAUUUUCUUGGAGGGCUGAAAUUAAGAUUUGCUAUCUAACAAUGCAUGGAAAGCCCAGUGUCUGUCACAUAAUGGGCACUCAGUCAUGUCCCCCGUCAGUGACGUUGACAGGCUGUUUCACACCAGCCUGGCCCUUAC
This 986-nucleotide long non-coding RNA is filed under the name Equus asinus (donkey). RNAcentral's name for it is "lncRNA (ENSEASG00005035287.1)". The record is from RNAcentral. Lineage: Eukaryota; Metazoa; Chordata; Mammalia; Perissodactyla; Equidae.